CCUUAGGAGAGUCAUACCAAACUGGAGUAGCUUAUUAUAGCAAAACAGGACUCUAAGAAUAAGGAA
This 66-nucleotide non-coding RNA is filed under the name unclassified sequences. Its description in RNAcentral is "RAGATH-18 RNA". It matches the Rfam family "RAGATH-18 RNA". Rfam says of the family: Actinobacteria, Firmicutes, Fusobacteria, Thermotogae (1 example). Nearby to self-cleaving ribozyme genes The record is from Rfam by way of RNAcentral.